AGCUGCGCGGUGCGCACAGAGCAAACUAUUCUUUCUGCAUUUUACUAAAAAAUACCGCGUGCGCGCCGCAAAUAGCGGGGGUGUUUAUUCAUCGUUUUUGGGGGUGUUUAUUCAUU
Molecule: small nuclear RNA, 116 nt
Organism: Panicum virgatum (switchgrass)
Lineage: Eukaryota; Viridiplantae; Streptophyta; Magnoliopsida; Poales; Poaceae
Product: U5 spliceosomal RNA
Exons: 1
Source: RefSeq, a predicted model, not a curated record